GGAGUGGACCGGAGGAUCGCCGCGCCGGAUUUCCGGCGUGGAGGAAAGUCCGAACUCCUACGGGCAGCAGGCUGGCUAACGGCCAGGCGCGGCGACGCGACGGACAGUGCAACAGAAAACAAACCGCCGACCCGCGCUCGCAAGAGCGCGGAGGUAAGGGUGAAACGGUGCGGUAAGAGCGCACCGCAUCGCACGCGAGUGUCGAUGGCACGGCAAACCCCCUGCGGAGCAAGACCAAAUAGGGACGCAAUGGAUUCGCCCGUAUCCGUUCGAGUGUCCGGGUAGGUUGCUCGACCGCCGCGGUAACGCGAGCGGCAGAUGAAUGAUCCUCGCCCCUCACGGGGAGACAGAAUUCGGCUUACACGUCCGCUCCACGC
This 377-nucleotide RNase P RNA is filed under the name Acidobacteriota bacterium. RNAcentral's name for it is "Acidobacteria bacterium (rhizosphere metagenome) RNase P RNA component class A". It matches the Rfam family "Bacterial RNase P class A". From Rfam's summary of the family: Ribonuclease P (RNase P) is a ubiquitous endoribonuclease, found in archaea, bacteria and eukarya as well as chloroplasts and mitochondria. Its best characterised activity is the generation of mature 5'-ends of tRNAs by cleaving the 5'-leader elements of precursor-tRNAs. Lineage: Bacteria; Pseudomonadati; Acidobacteriota. The record is from RNAcentral.